AUGUUCUACUUCUGUACAUUAACAUGUACCCGACAUACCAAGGGCUCGGCAAACGGCAGGUGCGUCAAAUCGGAGACCUUCCUCGCCGGAGGCCGUCGCUGGUACGUCGAGUUCUACCCCGACGGCCACGGCCCGCGGGACGCUGGCUGGAUAUCCGUCUUCCUCUUCCUCGUCCCGGCCGGCGCCUACGAGGUCGUGACGACGCAGCUCAAGAUCAGCCUGCUCGACGCCCACGGGAAGCCGGUGCCGUCCUACGGGUCGUGGGGUUACUCUCGGUUCAUCACCAGGGCUGAUCUCGGGAGAUUAGGUCACGUGUCGUGGGAGAACGGUGGUUUCAGCGUCCAAUUCGAUAUCAUCGUGUCCAAGGAGACUUCCACUGAGUACGUUCCUGUUCGCAUGCUAGUGCCGCCGCCGGAUAUCCUCCAUGAUCUCGGUCAGCUCCUCUCCACCGGUGAAGGGGCCGAUGUCACGUUCGAGGUCGGCGGUGAGAUCUUCGUCGCACACAGGUGUGUCCUUGCCGCUCGUUCCUCCGUCUUCAGGGCAGAGCUUCUGGGUCCAAUGAAGGAGAGCACAUCAAUGUGCGUGCACAUAAAGGACAUGGAGCCAAAUGUAUUCAAGGCAUUGCUUCAUUUUAUCUACACCGAUUCCGUGCCUGAGAUCGACGAUGCUGAUGCACUAAGCAUGAUCCAGCAUUUGCUUGUUGCCGCGGACAGGUACGGCCUCAAGAGACUGAAGUUGACCUGCGAAGAGAAACUAUGCACUUACAUCAACACUAGCACAGUGGCCACUACAGUGGCACUCGCCGAGCAACAUGCUUGUACUACACUCAAGGAGGAAUGCUUCAGAUUCCUCGAGUCAUGUAACAAUAGCAUGCUGGAUCUGAUCACACGGAGUUCUGACUUUGAGCAUCUCGCAAGAAGUUGCCCGUCUAUUAUCAAGGAGCUUAUUCCCAAACUUCCUCGCAAACCCCCUUGUGUAACAAACUAUGGCAACAUGUAA
Molecule: ribosomal RNA, 999 nt
Filed under: Triticum aestivum (bread wheat)
Lineage: Eukaryota; Viridiplantae; Streptophyta; Magnoliopsida; Poales; Poaceae
Description: partial small subunit ribosomal RNA
Source: RNAcentral